This 253-nucleotide ribosomal RNA is filed under the name uncultured bacterium. Its description in RNAcentral is "partial 16S ribosomal RNA". It matches the Rfam family "Bacterial small subunit ribosomal RNA", at positions 524 to 776 of the family's 1533-position model. The record is from RNAcentral.
UACGAAGGGGGCUAGCGUUGCUCGGAAUGACUGGGCGUAAAGGGCGCGUAGGCGGUUCGGACAGUCAGAUGUGAAAUUCCCGGGCUUAACCUGGGGACUGCAUUUGAUACGUCCGGGCUUGAGUGUGGAAGAGGGUCGUGGAAUUCCCAGUGUAGAGGUGAAAUUCGUAGAUAUUGGGAAGAACACCGGUGGCGAAGGCGGCGACCUGGUCCAUUACUGACGCUGAGGCGCGAAAGCGUGGGGAGCAAACAGG